RNAcentral lists this unclassified non-coding RNA (281 nucleotides) under uncultured fungus. Its description in RNAcentral is "partial contains 5.8S rRNA, ITS2 and 28S rRNA". It matches the Rfam family "Eukaryotic large subunit ribosomal RNA", at positions 669 to 961 of the family's 3401-position model. Lineage: Eukaryota; Fungi. The record is from RNAcentral.
AGGAGUCUAACAUGUAUGCGAGUAUUUGGGUGGCAAACCCUUAUGCGUAAUGAAAGUGAAAGGGGAGGGAUAUUUGGAGCACCUAGCGGCCUGGAUUUCUUUGAAGGGUCUGAGUAAGAGCAUAUAUGUUGGGACCCGAAAGAUGGUGAACUAUGCCUGAAUAGGGUGAAGCCAGAGGAAACUCUGGUGGAGGCUCGUAGCGAUUCUGACGUGCAAAUCGAUCGUCAAAUUUGGGUAUAGGGGCGAAAGACUAAUCGAACCAUCUAGUAGCUGGUUCCCUC